Molecule: ribosomal RNA, 505 nt
Filed under: uncultured bacterium
Lineage: Bacteria
Description: partial 16S ribosomal RNA
Rfam family: Bacterial small subunit ribosomal RNA
Source: RNAcentral
GACGAACGCUGGCGGCGUGCCUAAUACAUGCAAGUAGAACGCACAGUUUAUACCGUAGCUUGCUACACCAUAGACUGUGAGUUGCGAACGGGUGAGUAACGCGUAGGUAACCUGCCUGGUAGCGGGGGAUAACUAUUGGAAACGAUAGCUAAUACCGCAUAAUAUUGAUUAUUGCAUGAUAAUUGAUUGAAAGAUGCUAUUGCAUCACUACCAGGUGGACCUGCGUUGUAUUAGCUAGUAGGUGAGGUAACGGCUCACCUAGGCGACGAUACAUAGCCGACCUGAGAGGGUGAUCGGCCACACUGGGACGGAGACACGGCCCAGACUCCUACGGGAGGGAGCAGUAGGGAAUCGUCGGCAAUGGACGAAAGUCUGACCGAGCAACGCCGCGGGAGUGAAGAAGGUUUUCGGGUCGUAAAGCUCUGUUGUAAGGGAAGAACGGGUGUGAGAGUGGAAAGUUCACACUGUGACGGUAUCUUACCAGAAAGGGACGGCUAACUACGUG